CUGGCUCAGGAUGAACGCUAGCGACAGGCUAACACAUGCAAGUCGAGGGCAGCAUAAAAGUAGCAAGUACUUGGUGGCGACCGGCGCACGGGUGAGUAACGCGUAUGCAACCUACCUAUCAGAGGGGAAUAACCCGGCGAAAGUCGGACUAAUACCGCAUAAAACAGGGGCACCGCAUGGUGAUAUUUGUUAAAGAAAUUCGCUGAUAGAUGGGCAUGCGUUCCGUUAGGUAGUUGGUGAGGUAACGGCUCACCAAGCCGACGAUGGAUAGGGGAACUGAGAGGUUGGUCCCCCACACUGGUACUGAGACACGGACCAGACUCCUACGGGAGGCAGCAGUGAGGAAUAUUGGUCAAUGGGCGGGAGCCUGAACCAGCCAAGUCGCGUGAAGGAAGAAGGAUCUAUGGUUCGUAAACUUCUUUUGCAGGGGAAUAAAGUGCAGGACGUGUCCUGUUUUGUACGUACCCUGAGAAUAAGGAUCGGCUAACUCCGUGCCAGCAGCCGC
This 505-nucleotide ribosomal RNA is filed under the name uncultured bacterium. RNAcentral's name for it is "bacterial SSU rRNA". It matches the Rfam family "Bacterial small subunit ribosomal RNA", at positions 19 to 518 of the family's 1533-position model. The record is from RNAcentral.